CAUUAAAUGGCUGAAAGUAAGCCCCGAUCUCUUAAAUCGGAUAAUAGCAAGUAACACCUGCUUUUAAUGU
Molecule: transfer RNA, 70 nt
Filed under: Proisotoma minuta
Lineage: Eukaryota; Metazoa; Arthropoda; Collembola; Entomobryomorpha; Isotomidae
Description: tRNA-Lys
Source: RNAcentral